UAAGAACAAGAAGUCUUAAGUAUUGGCAUAUGUUGAUAUGUGGCCAAAAAGGUCUCUAAACAAUACAUUUUCUAUUCAUUCCAGAAACCUCAUACUCCGUUAUUUCUCUUUUAAUGCUGUUGGCAAAUACCCAUGUCACCAUCUAAUUUUGACUGUAGUUCAACUUUUUUAGUGCAAACUUAAUCCUCAUUAUAGUUGUAAACAUGUGUUUCAUUUGGCCUCGUGCUCAUGCGCUAAAGUGACAAAGGCAAUCUAGGGUUUGUAUCAGAAAUGGAGAUGUAUAGGUAAGCAUUUUGUUCAAUCUGCUUUGUCUCUUAUACAGAGAAAAUCAGCCCCGUUGCUUAAUAAGGAAGAAUGUUUUUAUAAGGCUCUUUGUGCUCUCGUGCUUGGCGUGUUUCCUGCUCUGCAGCGGGUUUUGGAAAGAUGGGACACUUCAAGGGAAAACAAGCAAGUGAAUCGAGGAAAUGUUGCAAGAGCCUUUGGGAUCUUGUGUACGAUCGUGGUCAUCUGCAAGGAAUCAGUUUUCAAAGAAGCAUCUGAUGGACUGACACCCACUGGAGCCAGGGACAAGAUGAAAUGCACUCAUUCAAAGCAGAUUAGGACUUACUGUUCUGGAAAUCAAGUGAGUUUUGAAGAGGCUGAUGAAGCUGAAUUUCAAAGCUACCAAUCUGGUUUUUAAAGUGUGUUGGGAUUCAGACUGGCAAUAGCAAAAAGGGGUUUUUACACCACAGAGUGGUCAUCCCUAUCUGACAACGAUGGAAAACCGUGACCGUUCAAUAGCUGUUGAUGGUUCUUUUACAAGGGAUUAAUGUGAUGCCUACUGAGUGACACAGGGCAUUGCUCUCAUCUCGGGAUGAAUGUUUCCAAGGUACUGCUCUGUGAGGACCACAGCCAGCUGAGAACUGAAAGCUAUGGGAGAGUGUGGCAUGCUUUGUAGAGAAGGCAGCAGUAAGGAGAAAUGCUAAAUAUAUCAGACAAAUCAUCUCUUCUUUCAUUGAACAACUCCAUUCAUGACUUCUGAUCCUGUUGGUAAGAGCUUUGAAUUUAAUUUCUACUGUCCCCCACCCAAUAUUUCUCGUGCAUUUGUUAUAUAGCUUCCUGCAAUCUCAUUUAUUGCUCUCCAGAGCUUACAGAAUGUGUGCUUCCUGCAAACUUCAAUUUAUAUUUUUGCCAUUAACUAUAGAUACUCUUUUGUUUGCACACUUAGAGAACUUUCAGUAUUUUCAGUGUGUUAACAUGGAAGAAACUGAAAAGAAUCUAUUUCUUGGUUGGAAUUGAUCGGGUUCUCAGCUGAAUGGUUGCAUUUCAGGUUGUUGGAAUUACACAGAAGCAGCUCUUGCGUUUCCCAUUGGUUGUACUGCCUUUUCUGCGUAUCCAGGUUCAGAAGCAGCAAAACCUUGGGUUUGGGUUUCCUUUUUCAUUUGUUCCCUCGAGGAAUGCUAGUAGGGAACAGUCAAGUGAACAAGAGCUGACGCUAGCUCUGCUUUAGAAACCAUUCAUGCUUUUCAGGUGCCCAGCUCCCGAACUACUCAGGGCAGGAGGGGAAAUGUAAACAUUGUGCUGUUAUUCAACCUACUACAUAAGAGCAUUGAGCCUGACAAGGCUCUGGGUACCCCCGUGCCCCAUCCUUGCCGAGAUCGGACGCCGAUAUCCCUCCUGCUGACAUGCAAUCCAGCAGC
Molecule: long non-coding RNA, 1679 nt
Organism: Chrysolophus pictus (golden pheasant)
Lineage: Eukaryota; Metazoa; Chordata; Aves; Galliformes; Phasianidae
Source: Ensembl